UGGCGGCGUGCCUACACAUGCAAGUCGAACGAGAAAGUGGAGCAAUCCAUGAGUAAAGUGGCGACCGGGUGAGUAACACGUGACUAACCUACCCUCGAGUGGGGAAUAACUCCGGGAAACCGGGGCUAAUACCGCAUAACAUCGCAAGAUCAAAGCAGCAAUGCGCUUGAGGAGGGGGUCGCGGCUGAUUAGCUAGUUGGCGGGGUAACGGCCCACCAAGGCGAAGAUCGGUAUCCGGCCUGAGAGGGCGCACGGACACACUGGAACUGAAACACGGUCCAGACUCCUACGGGAGGCAGCAGUGGGGAAUUUUGCGCAAUGGGGGAAACCCUGACGCAGCAACGCCGCGUGGAGGAUGAAGCCCUUUGGGGCGUAAACUCCUUUCGACUCGGACGAUAAUGACGGUACGAGUGGAAGAAGCACCGGCUAACUCUGUGCCAGCAGUCGCGGUAAUACAGAGGGUGCGAGCGUUGUUCGGAAUUAUUGGGCGUAAAGGGCGCGUAGGCGGUGCGGUAAGUCACCUGUGAAAUCUC
This 533-nucleotide ribosomal RNA is filed under the name uncultured bacterium. Its description in RNAcentral is "bacterial SSU rRNA". It matches the Rfam family "Bacterial small subunit ribosomal RNA", at positions 37 to 603 of the family's 1533-position model. The record is from RNAcentral.